GCGGAGGGAUCAUUACCGAGUUAUACAACUCAUCAACCCUGUGAACAUACCUAAAACGUUGCUUCGGCGGGAACAGACGGCCCUGUAACAACGGGCCGCCCCCGCCAGAGGACCCCUAACUCUGUUUUUAUAAUGUUUUUCUGAGUAAACAAGCAAAUAAAUUAAAACUUUCAACAACGGAUCUCUUGGCUCUGGCAUCGAUGAAGAACGCAGCGAAAUGCGAUAAGUAAUGUGAAUUGCAGAAUUCAGUGAAUCAUCGAAUCUUUGAACGCACAUUGCGCCCGCCAGUAUUCUGGCGGGCAUGCCUGUUCGAGCGUCAUUACAACCCUCAGGCCCCCGGGCCUGGCGUUGGGGAUCGGCGGAAGCCCCCUGUGGGCACACGCCGUCCCUCAAAUACAGUGGCGGUCCCGCCGCAGCUUCCAUUGCGUAGUAGCUAACACCUCGCAACUGGAGAGCGGCGCGGCCAUGCCGUAAAACACCCAACUUCUGAAUGUUGACCUCGAAUCAGGUAGGAAUACCCGCUGAACUUAAGCAUAUCAAUAAGCGGAGGA
This 551-nucleotide ribosomal RNA is filed under the name Fusarium solani. RNAcentral's name for it is "eukaryotic LSU rRNA". The stretch from base 166 to 319 matches the Rfam family "5.8S ribosomal RNA". Lineage: Eukaryota; Fungi; Ascomycota; Sordariomycetes; Hypocreales; Nectriaceae. The record is from RNAcentral.